RNAcentral lists this ribosomal RNA (869 nucleotides) under uncultured archaeon. RNAcentral describes it as "bacterial SSU rRNA". It matches the Rfam family "Archaeal small subunit ribosomal RNA", at positions 1 to 878 of the family's 1478-position model. The record is from RNAcentral.
UUCCGGGUUGAUCCCCCCGGACCCGACUGCUAUCAGAGUGGGACUAAGCCAUGCGAGUCAACAUAGCAAUAUGUGGCAUACGGCUCAGUAACACGUAGUCAACAUGCCCAGGGGACGUGGAUAACCUCGGGAAACUGAGGAUAAACCGCGAUAAGUCACUACUUCUGGAAUGGGUAAUGACUCAAAUCUACAUGGCCCCUGGAUUGGACUGCGGCCGAUCAGGCUGUUGGUGAGGUAAUGGCCCACCAAACCUGUAACCGGUACGGGCUCUGAGAGGAGGAGCCCGGAGAUGGGCACUGAGACAAGGGCCCAGGCCCUAUGGGGCGCAGCAGGCGCGAAACCUCUGCAAUAGGCGAAAGCCUGACAGGGUUACUCUGAGUGAUUUCCGUUAAGGAGAUCUUUUGGCACCUCUAAAAAUGGUGCAGAAUAAGGGGUGGGCAAGUCUGGUGUCAGCCGCCGCGGUAAUACCAGCACCCCGAGUGGUCGGGACGUUUAUUGGGCCUAAAGCAUCCGUAGCCGGUUCUACAAGUCUUCCGUUAAAUCCACCUGCUUAACAGAUGGGCUGCGGAAGAUACUAUAGAGCUAGGAGGCGGGAGAGGCAAGCGGUACUCGAUGGGUAGGGGUAAAAUCCGUUGAUCCAUUGAAGACCACCAGUGGCGAAGGCGGCUUGCCAGAACGCGCUCGACGGUGAGGGAUGAAAGCUGGGGGAGCAAACCGGAUUAGAUACCCGGGUAGUCCCAGCUGUAAACGAUGCAGACUCGGUGAUGAGUUGGCUUCUUGCCAACUCAGUGCCGCAGGGAAGCCGUUAAGUUUGCCACCCGGGGCGUACGGUCGCAAGACUGAAACUUAAAGGAAUAAGCGGGGGAGCA